This 399-nucleotide ribosomal RNA is filed under the name Sepioteuthis lessoniana. Its description in RNAcentral is "partial 12S rRNA". Lineage: Eukaryota; Metazoa; Mollusca; Cephalopoda; Myopsida; Loliginidae. The record is from RNAcentral.
CUACUAUUCUUUAUUUUAAAAAUUUAUUUACUUGAGGAGUAAGAGUGUAUAGAAUAUAAAUUAUUUAUACUUGAAACUUAAAAGGCUUGGCGGUGUUAUAUAUCCUUCCAGGGGAGCUUGCUUAUUAAUUUGAUAAUCCUCAAUUUAUACUUACUUUUUUUGGAUAAACAGUUUGUGUAUUGCUGUCGUCAGUUUAUUUUGUAAAAAGAUUAGAAAAAACUUUAUAAUAAUUAGAUUAUGAUGUCAAGUCAAAAUGCAGCUUAUAAAAAAGGUUUAUAAAGUGAGCUACGAUUUAUAAUAUUUAAACCAAUUAAAUUGUGUAAUUAAUUUUAUGAAGUUGGACUUGGUAGUAACAAGGUUUUAAAUAGUGAUCCUUGUGAAUUAGGUUUUGUGACGCGU